RNAcentral lists this ribosomal RNA (433 nucleotides) under uncultured bacterium. Its description in RNAcentral is "partial 16S ribosomal RNA". It matches the Rfam family "Bacterial small subunit ribosomal RNA", at positions 29 to 507 of the family's 1533-position model. The record is from RNAcentral.
AACGAACGCUGGCGGCAUGCCUAACACAUGCAAGUCGAACGGGACCUUCGGGUUUACUGGCGGACUGGUGGGUAACCGGGUGGAAAAUGCCUAUGGAUCUGGCAUGACUUCCGGAAUGGGGUGCUGAAACCGGCUCAUAUACUCGGUCCAAAGCUUGAUAGCAUUUGGGUGGGCGUGCGUUGGAUUAGCUCGUUGGUAGGGUAAAUGGCUACCACGGCGAGGCUCCAUAGCUGGUUAGUGAGGCUGAUCACCGACACUGGGGCGGAGACACGGCCGAGACUCCUACAGGAGGCAGCAGUGGGGAAUACUGGACAAUGGGCGGAGUGCUGAUGCUGCAAGGCCUCGUGAGUGAUGAAGGUUUUGGGGAUGGAAAGCUCGUUUACCCGGGAGGGUAAUGACGGUACCGGGAGAAUAAGCACCGGCUAACUCCGUG